RNAcentral lists this ribosomal RNA (2910 nucleotides) under Providencia rettgeri. RNAcentral describes it as "23S ribosomal RNA". It matches the Rfam family "Bacterial large subunit ribosomal RNA". The record is from RNAcentral. Lineage: Bacteria; Pseudomonadati; Pseudomonadota; Gammaproteobacteria; Enterobacterales; Morganellaceae.
UUAAGCGACUAAGCGUACACGGUGGAUGCCUAGGCAAUCAGAGGCGAUGAAGGACGUGCUAAUCUGCGAUAAGCGUCGGUAAGGUGAUAUGAACCGUUACAACCGACGAUUUCCGAAUGGGGAAACCCAGUGCAAUCCGUUGCACUAUCGUUUGAUGAAUACAUAGUCAAACGAAGCGAACCGGGGAACUGAAACAUCUCAGUACCCCGAGGAAAAGAAAUCAACCGAGAUUCCCCUAGUAGCGGCGAGCGAACGGGGAGCAGCCCAGAGUCUUAAUCAGCAUUAGCAUCAGGAGAACGGUCUGGAAAGUCCGGCAGUAAAGGGUGAUAGCCCCGUAUCCGAAGGUGUUAGUGUUGUGAACUCGACGAGUAGGGCGGGACACGUGUUAUCCUGUCUGAAUAUGGGGGGACCAUCCUCCAAGGCUAAAUACUCCUGAUUGACCGAUAGUGAACCAGUACCGUGAGGGAAAGGCGAAAAGAACCCCGGCGAGGGAGUGAAAUAGAACCUGAAACCGUGUACGUACAAGCAGUGGGAGCCUUGAUUUAUCAGGGUGACUGCGUACCUUUGUAUAAUGGGUCAGCGACUUAUAUUCUGUAGCAAGGUUAACCGAAUAGGGGAGCCGUAGGGAAACCGAGUCUUAACUGGGCGAAUAAGUUGCAGGGUAUAGACCCGAAACCCGGUGAUCUAGCCAUGGGCAGGUUGAAGGUUGGGUAACACUAACUGGAGGACCGAACCGACUAAUGUUGAAAAAAUUAGCGGAUGACUUGUGGCUGGGGUGAAAGGCCAAUCAAACCGGGAGAUAGCUGGUUCUCCCCGAAAGCUAUUUAGGUAGCGCCUCGUGAACUCAUCUUCGGGGUAGAGCACUGUUUCGACUAGGGGUCAUCCCGACUUACCAACUCGAUGCAAACUACGAAUACCGAAGAAUGUUAUCACGGGAGACACACGGCGGGUGCUAACGUUCGUCGUGAAGAGGGAAACAACCCAGACCGCCAGCUAAGGUCCCAAAGUCAUAGUUAAGUGGGAAACGAAGUGGGAAGGCUCAGACAGCCAGGAUGUUGGCUUAGAAGCAGCCAUCAUUUAAAGAAAGCGUAAUAGCUCACUGGUCGAGUCGGCCUGCGCGGAAGAUGUAACGGGGCUAAACUAUGCACCGAAGCUGCGGCAGCGAUAUGUAAAUAUUGUUGGGUAGGGGAGCGUUCUGUAAGCCUGUGAAGGUGUGCUGUGAGGCAUGCUGGAGGUAUCAGAAGUGCGAAUGCUGACAUAAGUAACGAUAAUGCGGGUGAAAAACCCGCACGCCGGAAGACCAAGGGUUCCUGUCCAACGUUAAUCGGGGCAGGGUGAGUCGACCCCUAAGGCGAGGCAGAAAUGCGUAGUCGAUGGGAAACGGGUUAAUAUUCCCGUACUGGUGAUAAUUGCGAUGGGGGGGGGGGACGGAGAAGGCUAGGCUAUCCGGGCGACGGUUGUCCCGGUUUAAGGAUGUAGGCAGGUGAAUUAGGCAAAUCCGGUUCACUAUAUGCUGAGGUCCGAUGACGAGUCACUACGGUGAUGAAGUAGCUCAUGCCCCGCUUCCAGGAAAAGCCUCUAAGCUCUAGAUUAUCAUUAAUCGUACCCCAAACCGACACAGGUGGUCAGGUAGAGAAUACUCAGGCGCUUGAGAGAACUCGGGUGAAGGAACUAGGCAAAAUGGUGCCGUAACUUCGGGAGAAGGCACGCUGGCAUUAGGUGAAGUGAUUUACUCAUGGAGCUGAAGCCAGUCGCAGAUACCAGCUGGCUGCAACUGUUUAUUAAAAAAACACAGCACUGUGCAAAACACGAAAGUGGACGUAUACGGUGUGACGCCUGCCCGGUGCUGGAAGGUUAAUUGAUGGGGUUAUCCGUAAGGAGAAGCUCUUGAUCGAAGCCCCAGUAAACGGCGGCCGUAACUAUAACGGUCCUAAGGUAGCGAAAUUCCUUGUCGGGUAAGUUCCGACCUGCACGAAUGGCGUAAUGAUGGCCAGGCUGUCUCCACCCGAGACUCAGUGAAAUUGAACUCGCUGUGAAGAUGCAGUGUACCCGCGGCAAGACGGAAAGACCCCGUGAACCUUUACUAUAGCUUGACACUGAACAUUGAGCCUUGAUGUGUAGGAUAGGUGGGAGGCUUCGAAGCGUGGACGCCAGUCUGCGUGGAGCCAACCUUGAAAUACCACCCUUUAAUGUUUGAUGUUCUAACGUUGCCCCAUUAUCUGGGGUGCGGACAGUGUCUGGUGGGUAGUUUGACUGGGGCGGUCUCCUCCCAAAGAGUAACGGAGGAGCACGAAGGUUGGCUAAGCAUGGUCGGACAUCAUGCGGUUAGUGCAAAGGCAUAAGCCAGCUUGACUGCGAGAGUGACGGCUCGAGCAGGUACGAAAGUAGGUCUUAGUGAUCCGGUGGUUCUGAAUGGAAGGGCCAUCGCUCAACGGAUAAAAGGUACUCCGGGGAUAACAGGCUGAUACCGCCCAAGAGUUCAUAUCGACGGCGGUGUUUGGCACCUCGAUGUCGGCUCAUCACAUCCUGGGGCUGAAGUAGGUCCCAAGGGUACGGCUGUUCGCCGUUUAAAGUGGUACGCGAGCUGGGUUUAGAACGUCGUGAGACAGUUCGGUCCCUAUCUGCCGUGGGCGUUGGAAGAUUGAAAGGGGCUGCUCCUAGUACGAGAGGACCGGAGUGGACGCACCACUGGUGUUCGGGUUGUCAUGCCAAUGGCAUUGCCCGGUAGCUAAGUGCGGAAGAGAUAACCGCUGAAAGCAUCUAAGCGGGAAACUUGCCUUGAGAUGAGUCUUCCCUGACUCUUUAAGAGUCCUAAAGGAACGUUUAAGACUAAGACGUUGAUAGGUUGGGUGUGUAAGCGUAGCGAUACGUUGAGCUAACCAAUACUAAUGAACCGUGAGGCUUAACCUG